This 263-nucleotide ribosomal RNA is filed under the name uncultured bacterium. RNAcentral's name for it is "partial 16S ribosomal RNA". It matches the Rfam family "Bacterial small subunit ribosomal RNA", at positions 793 to 1055 of the family's 1533-position model. The record is from RNAcentral.
GUCCACGCUGUAAACGAUGUCUGCUAGCCGUUGGGAUCCUUGAGGUCUCGGUGGCGCAGCUAACGCGAUAAGCAGACCGCCUGGGGAGUACGGCCGCAAGGUUAAAACUCAAAUGAAUUGACGGGGGCCCGCACAAGCGGUGGAGCAUGUGGUUUAAUUCGAUGCAACGCGAAGAACCUUACCACCCCUUGACAUCCAGAGAACUGCCCAGAGAUGGGCGGGUGCAUUCGGGAGCUCUGAGACAGGUGCUGCAUGGCUGUCGU